AUUGAACGCUGGCGGCAGGCUUAACACAUGCAAGUCGAACGAGUGGCGGACGGGUGAGUAAUGUAUGGGGAUCUGCCCGAUAGAGGGGGAUAACCACUGGAAACGGUGGCUAAUACCGCAUACUAUCCGAUGAGCCCAUAUGGGAUUAGCUAGUGGGUGGGGUAAAGGCUAACCAAGGCGACGAUCUCUAGCUGGUCUGAGAGGAUGAUCAGCCACACUGGGACUGAGACACGGCCCAGACUCCUACGGGAGGCAGCAGUGGGGAAUUUUGGACAAUGGGCGCAAGCCUGAUGCAGCCAUGCCGCGUGUAUGAAGAAGGCCUUAGGGUUGUAAAGUACUUUCAUCGGGGAGGCGUUACCCGCAGAAGAAGCACCGGCUAACUCCGUGCCAGCAGCCGCGGUAAUAC
This 406-nucleotide ribosomal RNA is filed under the name uncultured bacterium. Its description in RNAcentral is "partial 16S ribosomal RNA". It matches the Rfam family "Bacterial small subunit ribosomal RNA", at positions 30 to 526 of the family's 1533-position model. The record is from RNAcentral.